GACGUAGGGGGCGAGCGUUGUCCGGAUUUACUGGGCGUAAAGCGCGCGCAGGCGGCCCGUUAAGUCGGAUGUGAAAACCUGGGGCUCAACCCCAGGCCUGCACCCGAUACUGGCGGGCUCGAGGCAGGUAGGGGAGAGUGGAAUUCCCGGUGUAGCGGUGAAAUGCGCAGAUAUCAGGAAGAACACCUAUGGCGAAGGCAGCACUCUGGGACGGUACUGACGCUGAGACGCGAAAGCGUGGGGAGCGAACAGG
RNAcentral lists this ribosomal RNA (253 nucleotides) under uncultured bacterium. RNAcentral's name for it is "partial 16S ribosomal RNA". It matches the Rfam family "Bacterial small subunit ribosomal RNA", at positions 524 to 776 of the family's 1533-position model. The record is from RNAcentral.